RNAcentral lists this ribosomal RNA (301 nucleotides) under uncultured bacterium. Its description in RNAcentral is "partial 16S ribosomal RNA". It matches the Rfam family "Bacterial small subunit ribosomal RNA", at positions 509 to 807 of the family's 1533-position model. The record is from RNAcentral.
CAGCCGCCGCGGGAAUACAGAGGGUGCGAGCGUUAAUCGGAUUUACUGGGCGUAAAGCGUGCGUAGGCGGCUUUUUAAGUCGGAUGUGAAAUCCCUGAGCUUAACUUAGGAAUUGCAUUCGAUACUGGGAAGCUAGAGUAUGGGAGAGGAUGGUAGAAUUCCAGGUGUAGCGGUGAAAUGCGUAGAGAUCUGGAGGAAUACCGAUGGCGAAGGCAGCCAUCUGGCCUAAUACUGACGCUGAGACGCGAAAGCCAGGGGAGCGAACGGGAUUAGAUACCCCCGUAGUCCCUGUCUCUUAUAC